RNAcentral lists this long non-coding RNA (1259 nucleotides) under Coffea arabica (coffee). Its description in RNAcentral is "long non-coding RNA (CARA_LNC007934)". Lineage: Eukaryota; Viridiplantae; Streptophyta; Magnoliopsida; Gentianales; Rubiaceae. The record is from RNAcentral.
UGAACCUUUCCGAAAGGAUAAGGUUGACAGUAACGGCGUCAAAUUUUGCCAGCCCACCGUUUUCUCGUUUUCGUACUAAUGGCGGUUUACCGUUUUAUUGGACGACGCCGCUGUGAGGUCCUGACGGGACGGCCACUGAUGUUGACGGCAGGGUCAUUGGUCAAAUUGGUCUCCGUCAUGUGGGGCAACUCUGACACGGCAAGUAAAUAUCACUACUAACUUGAAGAAAAAUGAAAAACAAUUUACACUAGAAGGAAAAUAUGAAAAAUAAAUCUGCUCGAAUAUAAUAAAGAAAAAGGUGAAAAAAAAAACAGAUUUUGGAACUAAGUGAUUAGACAUUUGGCAAUGCAAAUUUACCUUAAUUCAAGAGUAAAGAAUAAAAAAGCCAAAUUUUGAUAAUUAAACAAAAUUCUGGGUUUUUUGGACACAAAAUUAUUUUAGAUAUUAUUUUACUUGUACCAUAAACACAUUUUUCAAAUCAUUUUUUAUACUUUCAACUAUUUUUUCAUUUUAUAUAUAUCACAUCAUAAAAAAAUAUUAUAAUAAUUAUUUUAAAUAAUAUCCUAUCAAAAUUUUAAAAUGUUCUUGAUAGGUUAUAAUGCCACAAUAAGCAAAUUAUGACAUCACGAAUACUUUACUCAAAAAGAAAGAAAAGGAUGUAAAAAAAGAAAAGAAAAGUUGAUUACUUGGUCAUUUGAUUUGUGCCCGUAACCAUGAAAAAUUAUACUAACUAGUUCGAUUAAGUAAUCUUUGUUAGUUUGAGAUGACCAUAAUUGAAAUUAUCCACAAAAAGUUUGUGAGUUUUACUUUUGUUUGUAAGCAUAAUUUACAUAAAAAUUAUUUACUUGCAACACAAAUACAUUUUUCGAUUCCACAUUUUUAUUUCACAUACAUCAUAUUAUAAAAAUACUAUAGUAAUUAUUCCAAAUAAUAUUUUAAAUAAACUCUUAUCCAAACAUUAGUUGUGUUCCUUCUUGUCAUUGCUCGACUGAUUUUCUUUCUUAAAUUUUUUUUUUCGCUCAUCUUUUUCUUUUGUUUCUUUUUCUUUUUCCUCUUGACAUAUGAUGCAAACAGUGAAAGUGGAAAUGUCUACACAACUCUACAUCACAAUCUUCAGCUAUAGAUUCAUCCCGGACUUUGAAAAAUAUAUAUCAAUGUGCAUCUUGAGGUUGAGCAUACCUGAAUCUCAAUUAGUCAAACAUUUAACUAAUGUGUUGAAUAAUGAUCUCUUCCUUCAAAAAAAAGAAAAAGAAAAAGAA